This 22-nucleotide microRNA is filed under the name Callithrix jacchus (white-tufted-ear marmoset). RNAcentral's name for it is "cja-miR-548i". Its record names the gene cja-miR-548i. Lineage: Eukaryota; Metazoa; Chordata; Mammalia; Primates; Cebidae. The record is from miRBase by way of RNAcentral.
CACAAACUGCAAUUACUUUUGC